Etheostoma cragini (Arkansas darter) is the source of this 94-nucleotide long non-coding RNA. RefSeq lists it as uncharacterized. The record is from RefSeq and is a predicted model, not a curated record. The transcript has 4 exons. Lineage: Eukaryota; Metazoa; Chordata; Actinopteri; Perciformes; Percidae.
UAGUGUGUAGUAUGAAAGGGGGAAAUUCUGUGUAGGGAGGUUGUUUGGGUGGGUGGAUGGGUCAAACACAGGACUGUCACCCAGGAGUGCGGGG